AUAGCGUAUAUUAAAGUUGUUGCAGUUAAAAAGCUCGUAGUUGAACCUUGGGCCUGGCUGGCCGGUCCGCCUCACCGCGUGCACUGGUCCGGCCGGGCCUUUCCUUCUGGGGAGCCGCAUGCCCUUCACUGGGUGUGUCGGGGAACCAGGACUUUUACUUUGAAAAAAUUAGAGUGUUCAAAGCAGGCCUUUGCUCGGAUACAUUAGCAUGGAAUAAUAGAAUAGGACGUGCGGUCCUAUUUUGUUGGUUUCUAGGACCGCCGUAAUGAUUAAUAGGGAUAGUCGGGGGCAUCAGUAUUCAAUUGUCAGAGGUGAAAUUCUUGGAUUUAUUGAAGACUAACUACUG
This 346-nucleotide ribosomal RNA is filed under the name uncultured eukaryote. Its description in RNAcentral is "SSU rRNA". It matches the Rfam family "Eukaryotic small subunit ribosomal RNA", at positions 594 to 945 of the family's 1831-position model. The record is from RNAcentral.